Molecule: ribosomal RNA, 301 nt
Filed under: uncultured bacterium
Lineage: Bacteria
Description: partial 16S ribosomal RNA
Rfam family: Bacterial small subunit ribosomal RNA
Source: RNAcentral
CAGCAGCCGCGGUAAUACGAAGGGUGCAAGCGUUACUCGGAAUUACUGGGCGUAAAGCGUGCGUAGGUGGUGGUUUAAGUCCGUUGUGAAAGCCCUGGGCUCAACCUGGGAAUUGCAGUGGAUACUGGGUCACUAGAGUGUGGUAGAGGAUAGUGGAAUUUCCGGUGUAGCAGUGAAAUGCGUAGAGAUCGGAAGGAACAUCUGUGGCGAAGGCGACUAUCUGGGCCAACACUGACACUGAGGCACGAAAGCGUGGGGAGCAAACAGGAUUAGAUACCCCUGUAGUCCCUGUCUCUUAUAA